This is a non-coding RNA of Lactuca sativa (garden lettuce), 537 nucleotides long. Lineage: Eukaryota; Viridiplantae; Streptophyta; Magnoliopsida; Asterales; Asteraceae. The record is from RefSeq and is a predicted model, not a curated record.
CUUAUUCAUCCUCGACGAAAAUCACUUCAGAUUUAGCAGUUCGAUUUUCCAACCUCGUUUCAGUGAAGGAUUUAAUUCGAUUGUAAAAUCCACAAAAGGUUUUCAUCUGUGUCAUCUAGGUUAGAUUGAUCUACUAGUUGAGAUUAGUCAGUCACCUCACAUUUUGUUGGAAGUUGAUGUAGCCUCAAAGCCAAGGCCAUAAAGAACUUCAUUUCUGCCCAAAUUAAAGUAGACAAAACUUCUUUUACCAUGUGACGCAACAAGGGAAGGAACACGAUAUGAUAUGUCAUUGAUGAAUUCUCAUAUCUGUUUUAGUAUUCUUAAAGAAUGGAAUGACUAACGUCAAUUUCUCGUCUAAGAAAAACUUGCAAUUUUGUUAGAAUUUCAACAAUUCUCAAAGAAUUGCGACAAUUGUGUUAGUGAUGUUAACUUAGAAUGUGAACAUUCUUGAAAGGAAUAUAAGAUGUAUGUAUUUAUGAGGAUUCUGUUCUUGAAAGAAUCAAUUUUUUUGUUAAAAUAUUAUCAUCUUUUACGACA